RNAcentral lists this ribosomal RNA (1483 nucleotides) under uncultured bacterium. RNAcentral's name for it is "bacterial SSU rRNA". It matches the Rfam family "Bacterial small subunit ribosomal RNA". The record is from RNAcentral.
UUGAUCCUGGCUCAGGAUGAACGUUGGCGGCAUGCUUAACACAUGCAAGUCGCACGGAGAAGCCCUUCGGGGCUAAUCAGUGGCGCACGGGUGCGUAACACGUAGGUGACCUGCCUCCCAGGGGGGGAUAACCAUCGGAAACGGUGGCUAAUACCGCAUGAUCUGUGGGUGCUUUGAAAGCCCACAGCAAAGUUCUGGCGCUGGGAGAGGGGCCUGCGGCCUAUCAGGUAGUUGGUGGGGUAACGGCCUACCAAGCCGACGACGGGUAGCUGACCUGAGAGGGUGGUCAGCCACAGGGGAACUGAGAGACGGUCCCCACUCCUACGGGAGGCAGCAGUGAGGAAUAUUGGGCAAUGGGGGCAACCCUGACCCAGCAAUGCCGCGUGCAGGAGGAAGCCCUUCGGGGUGUAAACUGCUUUUGUGUGGGAGGAGCAAGGACCGUACCACACGAAUCAGUCACGGCUAACUACGUGCCAGCAGCCGCGGUAAUACGUAGGUGGCGAACGUUAUCCGGAAUUACUGGGCGUAAAGGGUCCGCAGGCGGACGCGCCGGUCUGAUGUGACAGCCCGUGGCUCAACUACGGGAAGCCAUUGGAUACCGCGCGUCUUGAAUCAUGCCGAGGUCGGUGGAAUUCCCGGUGUAGUGGUGGAAUGCGUAAGAUCGGGAGGAACCUCGAAAGCGAAGGCAGCUGGCUUAGGCACUGAUUGACGCUAGGGACGCGAGCGUGGGGGAGCGAACAGGAUUAAAUACCCUGGUAUUCACGCCGUAAAACGAUGUGNUGUCUCGGGUGUGUGNUCCGNUAAGGGCUGCGCGCUCAGCUAACGCGUAAGCACACCGCCUGGGGAGUACGCCCGCAAGGUAAAACUCAAAGGAAUUUGACGGGGGCCCGCACAAGCAGCGGAGCGUGUGGUUUAAUUCGAUGCAACGCGCAGAACCUUACCUGGGUUUGACAUGCUGGUGGUAGGAAGCGGAAACGCGACCGACCCUCGGGAGCCAGCACAGGUGCUGCAUGGCUGUCGUCAGCUCGUGUCGUGAGAUGUUGGGUUAAGUCCCGCAACGAGCGCAACCCCUAUGCUGUGUUUUACGUGUCACAGCAGACUGCCCGCCGCAAGCGGGAGGAAGGUGGGGAUGACGUCAAGUCAGCAUGGCCUUUAUGUCCAGGGCGACACACACGCUACAAUGGCGCGUACAAUGGGCCGCGACCAGGCGACUGGUAGCAAAUCUCCAAAGCGCGUCUCAGUUCGGAUUGGAGUCUGCAACUCGACUCCAUGAAGGCGGAGUUGCUAGUAACCGCGCGUCAGCCAUAGUGCGGUGAAUGCGUUCCCGGGCCUUGUACACACCGCCCGUCACGUCAUGGGAGUCCGUAACACCUGAAGUCGGGUAGGCAACCGCAAGGAGCCGCCUGCCGAGGGUGGGACGGGUGACUGGGACGAAGUCGUAACAAGGUAGCAGUACCGGAAGGUGCGGCUGGAUUACCUCCUU